Molecule: ribosomal RNA, 671 nt
Filed under: Trichoderma asperellum
Lineage: Eukaryota; Fungi; Ascomycota; Sordariomycetes; Hypocreales; Hypocreaceae
Description: eukaryotic LSU rRNA
Rfam family: 5.8S ribosomal RNA (bases 272-425)
Source: RNAcentral
UAGGAAGAGGAGCGAGGGUUCUUGGUCACUUAGAGGAAGUAAAAGUCGUAACAAGGUCUCCGUUGGUGAACCAGCGGAGGGAUCAUUACCGAGUUUACAACUCCCAAACCCAAUGUGAACGUUACCAAACUGUUGCCUCGGCGGGGUCACGCCCCGGGUGCGUCGCAGCCCCGGAACCAGGCGCCCGCCGGAGGAACCAACCAAACUCUUUCUGUAGUCCCCUCGCGGACGUAUUUCUUACAGCUCUGAGCAAAAAUUCAAAAUGAAUCAAAACUUUCAACAACGGAUCUCUUGGUUCUGGCAUCGAUGAAGAACGCAGCGAAAUGCGAUAAGUAAUGUGAAUUGCAGAAUUCAGUGAAUCAUCGAAUCUUUGAACGCACAUUGCGCCCGCCAGUAUUCUGGCGGGCAUGCCUGUCCGAGCGUCAUUUCAACCCUCGAACCCCUCCGGGGGAUCGGCGUUGGGGAUCGGGACCCCUCACACGGGUGCCGGCCCCGAAAUACAGUGGCGGUCUCGCCGCAGCCUCUCCUGCGCAGUAGUUUGCACAACUCGCACCGGGAGCGCGGCGCGUCCACGUCCGUAAAACACCCAACUUUCUGAAAUGUUGACCUCGGAUCAGGUAGGAAUACCCGCUGAACUUAAGCAUAUCAAUAAGCGGGAGGAAGAAAGACCU